Neotoma lepida (desert woodrat) is the source of this 73-nucleotide transfer RNA. It matches the Rfam family "tRNA". Rfam says of the family: Transfer RNA (tRNA) molecules are approximately 80 nucleotides in length. Lineage: Eukaryota; Metazoa; Chordata; Mammalia; Rodentia; Cricetidae. The record is from Rfam.
GCAGAGGUGGCUCAAAGGUUAAGAGCACUGACUAUUCUUCCAGAGGUCCUGAGUUCAAUUCCCAGCAACUACA